AGCAUGUGGUUAAUUCGAUGAUACGCGAGGAACCUUACCUGGGCUCGAACGUAAGAUGACUGUAGGUGAAAGCUUACAUCUCUUCGGAGCAUUUUACGAGGUGCUGCAUGGUUGUCGUCAGCUCGUGCCGUGAGGUGUCGGGUUAAGUCCCAUAACGAGCGCAACCCCUACCUUUAGUUGCCAUCAGGUUAAGCUGGGGACUCUAAAGGAACUGCCUACGCAAGUAGUGAGGAAGCGGGGAUGACGUCAAAUCAGCACGGCCCUUACGUCCAGGGCUACACACGUGCUACAAUGGCCGAUACAGAGGGCAGCUACCUGGUGACAGGAUGCAAAUCUCCAAAGUCGGUCUCAGUUCGGAUCGGAGUCUGCAACCCGACUCCGUGAAGUUGGAUUCGCUAGUAAUCGCGCAUCAGCCAUGGCGCGGUGAAUACGUUCCCGGGCCUU
This 444-nucleotide ribosomal RNA is filed under the name uncultured Sphingobacteriales bacterium. RNAcentral's name for it is "bacterial SSU rRNA". It matches the Rfam family "Bacterial small subunit ribosomal RNA", at positions 936 to 1382 of the family's 1533-position model. The record is from RNAcentral. Lineage: Bacteria; Pseudomonadati; Bacteroidota; Sphingobacteriia; Sphingobacteriales.